Molecule: ribosomal RNA, 451 nt
Filed under: uncultured bacterium
Lineage: Bacteria
Description: partial 16S ribosomal RNA
Rfam family: Bacterial small subunit ribosomal RNA
Source: RNAcentral
AGCGAACGCUGGCGGCAGGCAUAACACAUGCAAGUCGAGCGGGCAUAGCAAUAUGUCAGCGGCAGACGGGUGAGUAACGCGUGGGAACGUACCUUUUGGUUCGGAACAACACAGGGAAACUUGUGCUAAUACCGGAUAAGCCCUUACGGGGAAAGAUUUAUCGCCGAAAGAUCGGCCCGCGUCUGAUUAGCUAGUUGGUGGGGUAAAGGCCCACCAAGGCGACGAUCAGUAGCUGGUCUGAGAGGAUGAUCAGCCACAUUGGGACUGAGACACGGCCCAAACUCCUACGGGAGGCAGCAGUGGGGAAUAUUGGACAAUGGGGGCAACCCUGAUCCAGCCAUGCCGCGUGAGUGAUGAAGGCCCUAGGGUUGUAAAGCUCUUUUGUGCGGGAAGAUAAUGACGGUACCGCAAGAAUAAGCCCCGGCUAACUUCGUGCCAGCAGCCGCCGCGG